RNAcentral lists this ribosomal RNA (38 nucleotides) under Inocybe cf. pseudoreducta BJ900831. RNAcentral describes it as "partial 18S ribosomal RNA". Lineage: Eukaryota; Fungi; Basidiomycota; Agaricomycetes; Agaricales; Inocybaceae. The record is from RNAcentral.
ACCAGGUUUCCGUAGGUGACCCUGCGUAGGAAUCAUUA